Non-coding RNA from Firmicutes bacterium CAG:137, 83 nucleotides. Lineage: Bacteria; Bacillati; Bacillota. The record is from Rfam.
CGCAUUGGGGAAAAAAUGCACAGUAACAACGAACCGCAAGAAGUCAGCAGAGGCCAUAGUACCGGAAAAAAACUGGGAAUGGC